Molecule: small nuclear RNA, 302 nt
Filed under: Erinaceus europaeus (western European hedgehog)
Lineage: Eukaryota; Metazoa; Chordata; Mammalia; Eulipotyphla; Erinaceidae
Description: 7SK RNA
Rfam family: 7SK RNA
About the family: 7SK was discovered as an abundant small nuclear RNA in the mid-70s but a possible function has only recently been suggested.
Source: Rfam by way of RNAcentral
GGAUGUGAGGGUGAUCUGGUUGUGACCUCUACUACCUCAUUGACCACCUGGGUGGGUUAUCUAGGUGUUCCCUUUCUCCCCCACUGUUCCAUGUGCAUCCCUCCUGAAGCUAACUCUUAGCUUAGAGGACGACCUUUCCCAAAUACAGGUAGACCAGUCUUCAGUGAAGUGUCUGAGAGUAGUUGUGAUCCCCUGCUGGAACCUCCAAACAAGCUCUCGAGGUCCAUUUAAGUGCUUUGAUCCUCAUCCUUCACACAUGCAUCAAGGAAAUGGGCUCCUAUUUUGGCAGCUUUCAUGGAAUU